RNAcentral lists this ribosomal RNA (497 nucleotides) under uncultured bacterium. RNAcentral describes it as "partial 16S ribosomal RNA". It matches the Rfam family "Bacterial small subunit ribosomal RNA", at positions 28 to 507 of the family's 1533-position model. The record is from RNAcentral.
GAUGAACGCUGGCGGCGUGCCUAAUACAUGCAAGUCGAGCGAACAGAUGAGGAGCUUGCUCCUCUGACGUUAGCGGCGGACGGGUGAGUAACACGUGUAUAACCCACCUAUAAGACUGGGAUAACUUCGGGAAACCGGAGCUUAUACCGGAUAAUAUAUUGAACCGCAUGGUUCAAUAGUGAAAGACGGUUUUGCUGUCACUUAUAGAUGGAUCCGCGCCGCAUUAGCUAGUUGGUAAGGUAACGGCUUACCAAGGCAACGAUGCGUGGCCGACCUGGGAGGGUGAUCGGCCACACUGGAACUGAGACACGGUCCAGACUCCUACGGGAGGCAGCAGUAGGGAAUCUUCCGCAAUGGGCGAAAGCCUGACGGAGCAACGCCGCGUGAGUGAUGAAGGUCUUCGGAUCGUAAAACUCUGUUAUUAGGGAAGAACAAAUGUGUAAGUAACUAUGCACGUCUUGACGGUACCUAAUGAGAAAGCCACGGCUAACUACGUG